CCUACGGGUGGCAGCAGUCGAGAAUCAUUCACAAUGGGGGAAACCCUGAUGGUGCGACGCCGCGUGGGGGAAUGAAGGUCUUCGGAUUGUAAACCCCUGUCAUGUGGGAGCAAAUUAAAAAGUGAGUACCACAAGAGGAAGAGACGGCUAACUCUGUGCCAGUAGCCGCGGUAAUACAGAGGUCUCAAGCGUUGUUCGGAUUCACUGGGCGUAAAGGGUGCGUAGGCUGUUUCGUAAGUCGUGUGUGAAAGGCGCGGGCUCAACCCUUGGACGGCAGAUGAUACUGCGAGACUAGAGUAAUGGAGAGGGAAGCGGAAUUCGCGGUGUAGCAGUGAAAUGCGUAGAUAUCAAGAAGAACACUCGUUGCGAAGGCGGGUUCCUGGACAGUAACUGACGCUGAGGCACGAAGGCCAGGGUAGCGAAAGGGAUUAGAUACCCUUGUAGUC
RNAcentral lists this ribosomal RNA (446 nucleotides) under uncultured bacterium. RNAcentral's name for it is "partial 16S ribosomal RNA". It matches the Rfam family "Bacterial small subunit ribosomal RNA", at positions 338 to 795 of the family's 1533-position model. The record is from RNAcentral.